This 63-nucleotide transfer RNA is filed under the name Pupilla muscorum. RNAcentral describes it as "tRNA-Thr". Lineage: Eukaryota; Metazoa; Mollusca; Gastropoda; Stylommatophora; Pupillidae. The record is from RNAcentral.
CCAAAAAUAAUUUAAAUAAAAUAAUGAUUUUGUAAAUCAAAAAUGAACUAGAUUCUAUUGGGU